UACAGAGGAUGCAAGCGUUAUCCGGAAUUAUUGGGCGUAAAGAGCUCGUAGGCGGUGUGUCACGUCGGCCGUGAAAACCUGCAGCUUAACUGUGGGCGUGCGGUCGAUACGGGCAUCACUGGAGUUCGGCAGGGGAGACUGGGAUUCCUGGUGUAGCGGUGAAAUGCGCAGAUAUCAGGAGGAACACCGGUGGCGAAGGCGGGUCUCUGGGCCGAUACUGACGCUGAGGAGCGAAAGCGUGGGGAGCAAACAGG
RNAcentral lists this ribosomal RNA (254 nucleotides) under uncultured bacterium. Its description in RNAcentral is "partial 16S ribosomal RNA". It matches the Rfam family "Bacterial small subunit ribosomal RNA", at positions 524 to 776 of the family's 1533-position model. The record is from RNAcentral.